AGAAACACAGAGAGCAAUGGAGGGUGUGAGAAGAGGCUUUGGCUUUGGGUCUGGUUCAGCUAUGGCGUUUGUGGUGCUUUUGGCCUUGGUUUUGGUCAUGGCUCCAGAAGCCUCAGCUACUCGCUUUACUGUGGGAGGUAACAAGGGCUGGACUACCAAUGUGAACUACACUAUUUGGGCCCAAGACAAGCACUUCUACAAUGGAGAUUGGCUCUGUAAGCUCUCUCACUCUCUUUGAUUGUUUGUCUUUCAGAUCUAAGUUGUUGUUUUAUGGCUGAAAGUUUCAAUCUUUGGUUCAAUUUGUGCUUCAUGUUCAGUCUGAGUGAGCCGGAUCUGGAAAUGGCCUAGUGGGUUUUGCUUCAAUGUGCUUAUAUGUGGGUUUUGUUUUGGGAGAAUCUUUGCCUCAAAGAUAGACACUUUGCUCAAAUUUAUUACAGAGUAGAUCAGAUUACUUGGGUGGUUUCUGAAUCCUGGUUCUUUGGUUUGUAAAGCUUUCAUUUUGCAUACCGAGAAAAAUGUAGGAAAAGGAAGAAUAUUUUUACUCAUAUCCAUAGAUUUCAUACUAAAUGAGGUUCCUUUUCAAGUUCUGAAUUAGUAUUUCAUAAAAUGCUAGCUGGUUCAGAUCUGAAACUGGUGCUAUUUUUUGCUCCUGGUUUUUGCUGUGAAGAAAUUCAAUGCCUUAUUAGUACUAUGUAGCAGUUUACUUUCUUAUACUACUUUGGUGUGUGAAAAACUGAGACUUGGAAAGUUGGAAGAUUGGCAUCUUUAGACUGCUGAAUUCUUAAGACUUGAUAUCGAAGAUGAAUUGAGUACUAAUUAAAAUACCAUAUCUGUUUUCCCCAGUUUUUGUGUAUGAUAGGAACCAGCAGAAUAUCCUAGAGGUGAACAGCACAGACUAUGAGACAUGCAAUUCAGAUCAUCCUCUUCACAAUUGGACUACUGGAGCCGGAAGAGAUGUGGUUCCACUAAAUGUGACGAGGCGCUACUAUUUCUUGAGUGGCAAGGGCUUCUGCUACAGUGGCAUGAAGAUGACUGUUAAGGUCGAAAACCCACCUCCACCUCCCAAGGCUGCUCCAGUGACGAGCAAGGGCAGCGCUCCAUUAUCUCCUGUGUUUAGAUCUCAAUUUGUGUUGCCAGCCAUUUUUGCCAUGGGUGCAGUUUGGGAUUCAUUUCUUAGGUUCUGCUAGCAUAAACUGAGCUAAUAUUGAUGGGUGAGGAUAUCAAAAUGAGUAAUCAGUGAGGAUAUCCAAAUCACAUUAUAGACAAUCUCUUCUAGCUAAGCCAUUGAUUUGUCCACAUUGGUCCUUGUACUUUAGAUUUUCUUGAUGCUUUUUUGGGUUUGUGAUUUGUUGGUGUUGUUUAAAUUU
Molecule: long non-coding RNA, 1367 nt
Filed under: Fragaria vesca (wild strawberry)
Lineage: Eukaryota; Viridiplantae; Streptophyta; Magnoliopsida; Rosales; Rosaceae
Description: long non-coding RNA (FVES_LNC003327)
Source: RNAcentral